AACGAACGUUGGCGGCGUGGAUUAGGCAUGCAAGUCGUACGCGAAAGAGGGGGCAACUCCUCGAGUAAAGUGGCGAACGGGUGAGUAACGCGUAGGAAACCUGCCUUCGAGAUGGGGAUAACACUCCUAACGGGGUGCUAAUACCGAAUGACACUGCGGGAUCGCAUGGUUCUGCAGUCAAAGGUGCCUCUGCUUGCAAGCUACACUCAAAGAUGGUCCUGCGUCCCANAGCUAGUUGGCGGGUAACGGCCCACCAAGGCGACGAUGGGUAGCCGAUCUGAGAGGAUGACGGCACACUGGGACUGAGAUACGGCCCAGACUCCUACGGGAGGCAGCAGUCGAGAGGCUUCGGCAAUGGGGGAAACCCUGACCGAGCGACGCCGCGUGGAGG
RNAcentral lists this ribosomal RNA (391 nucleotides) under uncultured bacterium. RNAcentral's name for it is "bacterial SSU rRNA". It matches the Rfam family "Bacterial small subunit ribosomal RNA", at positions 29 to 407 of the family's 1533-position model. The record is from RNAcentral.